This is a non-coding RNA of Acanthosepion pharaonis, 82 nucleotides long. Lineage: Eukaryota; Metazoa; Mollusca; Cephalopoda; Sepiida; Sepiidae. The record is from the annotation of a GenBank genome assembly.
CAUACAACCACCGAAGUUAAGCGAGGAUGAACCUGGUCAGUACUUAGAUGGGUGACCGCUUGGGAAUACCAGGUGUUGUAAG